Non-coding RNA from Oncorhynchus mykiss (rainbow trout), 199 nucleotides. NCBI's taxonomy places the organism in Eukaryota, Metazoa, Chordata, Actinopteri, Salmoniformes, Salmonidae. The record is from RefSeq and is a predicted model, not a curated record.
GUGCACUACGGCAUAUGAAGUCAGAUGACAUCAAACCUGGAUAACAGUUGCUGGACUCAAUGCUGACCGCUCAACAGUCGUUCGUUGGUGGUGGCCAAGGAUGUGUCUGCGCUACAAGGCUUCUGUAGAACACAUUUGGGAAAAAUGGCAAGUUUGUCUGAAGACAAUUCUCACUCGCUUCCACAAUCCACGCGUGCUC